Molecule: non-coding RNA, 788 nt
Filed under: Mongoloraphidia harmandi
Lineage: Eukaryota; Metazoa; Arthropoda; Insecta; Raphidioptera; Raphidiidae
Source: RNAcentral
AAAUUGUUUUGUAAUAUUAUUUUUAUUUUUAAUUAAAAUUUAAUUUUGGUUUAUAAUUUAUUAUUUUUUUAUUUUAUAUGUAAAUUUUAUUAUUUAAAAUUUUAUUUGCAGUAAUUUAUAUUAUUAAUUAAUGAAAUUUAGAAUUAGUAAUAAAUUUUAAGAUUAAAUUAUUUUGUGCCAGCAUUUGCGGUUAAACAAAAGAUUUAAAUAAAUUUUUUUGAUUUGUAAUUAAAUAGAUUUUUUAUUAAAGCUUAAAUAUUAAAGGUGAAAUUUAUUAUUUAUUUAUAUAAAUAUUUAUUAGGUAAAUUUUAUUGUUUUAUGAAAAUAAAAGUUUAAACUAGGAUUAGAUACCCUAUUAUUUUUAUUGUUUUAUUAAAAUUAAAUUAUUAAUAGUUAUGUUCUUGAAAUUUAAAAAAUUUGGCGGUAUUUUUUCUUUAUAGAGGAACCUGUUUUAUAAAUGAUAAUCCACGAUAUAAUUUACUUAAAUUUAUAAUUAGUAUAUCGUUGUUAUAAAAAUAUAUUUUUAGAUUUUUAAAUUUUAAAAUAUUUUAUAAUAUUUUAUUUCAAAUCAAGAUGCUGUUUAUAUUUAUGAUUUAAUGGGUUACAAUUAAUUUAUUAAAAUGGAUUUUAAAUUGUAAAAUUUGAAUGAAAGUGGAUUUAUUUGUAAUUUAAAAUAAAUUUUUUAUUUGAUAUUAGUUCUGAAAUAUGUACAUAUCGCCCGUCGCUCUCAUUUUAAAAUGAGAUAAGUCGUAACAUAGUAGAUUUACUGGAAAGUGGCUCUAGAAAAU